CCACACGACCGUACCGCAAACCGACACUGGUGCGCGAGAUGAGUAUUCUAAGGCGCUUGAGAGAACUCAGGAGAAGGAACUCGGCAAAUUGACACCGUAACUUCGGAAGAAGGUGUGCCUUUAGUAGGUGAACCUGUACAAGGGGAGCCCAAUGAGGUUGCAAAAAAUCGGUGGCUGCGACUGUUUAAUAAGAACACAGCACUCUGCAAACACGAAAGUGGACGUAUAGGGUGUGACGCCUGCCCGGUGCUGGAAGAUUAAAUGAUGGGGUGCAAGCUCUUGAUUGAAGUCCCAGUAAACGGCGGCCGUAACAAUAACGGUCCUAAGGUAGCGAAAUUCCUUGUCGGGUAAGUUCCGACCUGCACGAAAGGCGUAACGAUGGCCACACUGUCUCCUCCUGAGACUCAGCGAAGUUGAAAUGUUUGUGAUGAUGCAAUCUCCCCGCGGAAAGACGGAAAGACCCCAUGAACCUUUACUGUAGCUUUGUAUUGGACUUUGAACAGAUCUGUGUAGGAUAGGUGGGAGGCUUUGAAGUGUGGUCGCUAGAUCGCAUGGAGCCAACGUUGAAAUACCACCCUGGUGUGUUUGAGGUUCUAACCUAGGCCCGUAAUCCGGGUCGGGGACAGUGCAUGGUAGGCAGUUUGACUGGGGCGGUCUCCUCCCAAAGCGUAACGGAGGAGUUCGAAGGUACGCUAGGUACGGUCGGACAUCGUGCUAAUAGUGCAAUGGCAUAAGCGUGCUUAACUGCGAGACUGACAAGUCGAGCAGAUGCGAAAGCAGGACAUAGUGAUCCGGUGGUUCUGUAUGGAAGGGCAUCGCUCAACGGAUAAAAGGUACUCUGGGGAUAACAGGCUGAUACCGCCCAAGAGUUCAUAUCGACGGCGGUGUUUGGCACCUCGAUGUCGGCUCAUCUCAUCCUGGGGCUGUAGCCGGUCCCAAGGGUAUGGCUGUUCGCCAUUUAAAGAGGUACGUGAGCUGGGUUUAAAACGUCGUGAGACAGUUUGGUCCCUAUCUUCCGUGGGCGCUGCAGAUUUGAGGAAGCCUGCUCCUAGUACGAGAGGACCGGAGUGGACACACCUCUGGUGUAUCGGUUGUCACGCCAGUGGCAUUGCCGAGUAGCUAUGUGUGGAAGAGAUAACCGUUGAAAGCAUCUAAGCGGGAAACUCGUUUCAAGAUGAGAUCUGCCGGGGCCUUGAGCCCCCUAAAGAGUCGUUCAAGACCAGGACGUUGAUAGGUCGGGUGUGGAAGCGCAGUAAUGCGUUAAGCUAACCGAUACUAAUUGCUCGUGCGGCUUGACC
RNAcentral lists this ribosomal RNA (1298 nucleotides) under metagenome. RNAcentral describes it as "bacterial LSU rRNA". It matches the Rfam family "Bacterial large subunit ribosomal RNA", at positions 1634 to 2925 of the family's 2925-position model. The record is from RNAcentral.